RNAcentral lists this ribosomal RNA (255 nucleotides) under uncultured bacterium. RNAcentral's name for it is "partial 16S ribosomal RNA". It matches the Rfam family "Bacterial small subunit ribosomal RNA", at positions 74 to 334 of the family's 1533-position model. The record is from RNAcentral.
CAAUAUAAGUGAUGGCGACCGGCGCACGGGUGAGUAACACGUAUCCAACCUGCCGAUAACUCGGGGAUAGCCUUUCGAAAGAAAGAUUAAUACCCGAUGGUAUAAUAAAACCGCAUGGUUUAAUUAUUAAAGAAUUUCGGUUAUCGAUGGGGAUGCGUUCCAUUAGGCAGUGGUGAGGUAACGGCUCACCAAACCUUCGAUGGAUAGGGGUUCUGAGAGGAAGGUCCCCCACAUUGGAACUGAGACACGGUCCAA